AGUGAACGCUGGCGGUAGGCCUAACACAUGCAAGUCGAACGGCAGCACAGGAGAGCUUGCUCUCUGGGUGGCGAGUGGCGGACGGGUGAGGAAUACGUCGGAAUCUACUCUGUCGUGGGGGAUAACGUAGGGAAACUUACGCUAAUACCGCAUACGACCUACGGGUGAAAGCAGGGGACCUUCGAGCCUUGCGCGAUUGAAUGAGCCGAUGUCGGAUUAGCUAGUUGGCGGGGUAAAGGCCAACCAAGGCGACGAUCCGUAGCUGGUCUGAGAGGAUGAUCAGCCACACUGGAACUGAGACACGGUCCAGACUCCUACGGGAGGCAGCAGUGGGGAAUAUUGGACAAUGGGCGCAAGCCUGAUCCAGCCAUACCGCGUGGGUGAAGAAGGCCUUCGGGUUGUAAAGCCCUUUUGUUGGGAAAGAAAUCCAGCUGGCUAAUACCCGGUUGGGAUGACGGUACCCAAAGAAUAAGCACCGGCUAACUUCGUGCCAGCAGCCGCCGUAA
Molecule: ribosomal RNA, 506 nt
Filed under: uncultured bacterium
Lineage: Bacteria
Description: partial 16S ribosomal RNA
Rfam family: Bacterial small subunit ribosomal RNA
Source: RNAcentral